RNAcentral lists this microRNA precursor (103 nucleotides) under Canis lupus familiaris (dog). RNAcentral's name for it is "mir-8834 microRNA precursor family". It matches the Rfam family "mir-8834 microRNA precursor family". RNAcentral also lists the same sequence under 1 other name. The record is from Rfam by way of RNAcentral. Lineage: Eukaryota; Metazoa; Chordata; Mammalia; Carnivora; Canidae.
AGGAGCAACCCCAGUGGCGGAGGCCAGGUGUCCAGCCCUGGAUUCAGCCCCCGCAGUUACUUCGGAGCUUUCCGUCUGCAGGGCCUGGUUGCUCCGGGGGCGG